AGGAGACAUCUCCUAGUGUGAAAAACUACCGGUGGUACAGGAUGGGCCCGCGUCUGAUUAGCUGGUUGGCAGGGUAACGGCCUACCAAGGCAACGAUCAGUAGCCGGUCUGAGAGGAUGAACGGCCACAUUGGAACUGAGACACGGCCCAAACUCCUACGGGAGGCAGCAUG
This 172-nucleotide ribosomal RNA is filed under the name uncultured bacterium. RNAcentral's name for it is "partial 16S ribosomal RNA". It matches the Rfam family "Bacterial small subunit ribosomal RNA", at positions 183 to 353 of the family's 1533-position model. The record is from RNAcentral.